This 574-nucleotide long non-coding RNA is filed under the name Nicotiana benthamiana. RNAcentral describes it as "long non-coding RNA (NBEN_LNC030498)". Lineage: Eukaryota; Viridiplantae; Streptophyta; Magnoliopsida; Solanales; Solanaceae. The record is from RNAcentral.
UUAUUUUGACAUACCAAUUAAGAGAACAAGAAAUACUUUAAUAGUGUCUUUUUAUGUGAUAAAGAGUAUCUUGUGAGAGACUUGUUUUAGGGAAACACUUGCGGGAUUUUUUGUGAGCGUCUUUUUAGGUUAUUCUCUUGAGGUAUUUGGGAUUAGCAUGGCGGAUCUAGAAUUUCUAGUUAUGGAUUCACUACAAAAAAAGGAGGAAAAAAUGUACUAAGUGGGCCCUAUUCCUCUUGUUAAAUAAUUCAAUCUUCAAGUAAGUGCAUCAUUCAACCUUGUUGAAGUACGUAUGCCAACAAUUAAUAUUAUACCAAUUUUAGAAAAAUGUACAUAAAAUAUUUAUUUUUUCGGAAAGACCAUGAGUUCAUGUUCCUCAUAAUUUCCCCUCUAAAUUCGCCUCUGGGGAUUAGUUACAAUGUGUACUCUACUUUUAUACUCUUGUUGGUAUAGUAAAUUUGUUUCUUUCUGCUUGUGGACGUAGGUCACACUGACUGAACCACAAUAAAUUUUUGGUCUCCUUAUUAUCUUUAUUAUUAUCAUUUUUAUAACACUGUAUUUCUUAGUUUCGCAC